RNAcentral lists this ribosomal RNA (273 nucleotides) under uncultured bacterium. RNAcentral describes it as "partial 16S ribosomal RNA". It matches the Rfam family "Bacterial small subunit ribosomal RNA", at positions 524 to 796 of the family's 1533-position model. The record is from RNAcentral.
UACGGAGGGUGCAAGCGUUGUCCGGAUUUAUUGGGUUUAAAGGGUGUGUAGGCGGUGUAUUAAGUCAGUGGUGAAAGCCUGCGGCUCAACCGUAGAACUGCCAUUGAUACUGACACACUUGAGUAUGGACGAGGUAGGCGGAAUUUAUGGUGUAGCGGUGAAAUGCAUAGAUACCAUAAAGAACACCGAUAGCGAAGGCAGCUUACUAGGCCAUAACUGACGCUGAGGCACGAAAGCGUGGGGAGCGAACAGGAUUAGAUACCCUAGUAGUCC